GACGAACGCUGGCGGCGUGCUUAACACAUGCAAGUCGAACGGUAAGGCCCUUCGGGGUACACGAGUGGCGAACGGGUGAGUAACACGUGGGUGAUCUGCCCUGCACUUCGGUAUAAGCCUGGGAAACUGGGUCUAAUACCGGAUAGGACCACUGCCUGCAUGGGUGGUGGUGGAAAGCUUUUGCGGUGUGGGAUGAUCCCGCGGCCUAUCAGCUUGUUGGUGUGGUGAUGGCCCACCAAGGCGACGACGGCGAGCCGGCCUGAGGGUGAGACCGGCCACACUGGGACUGAGAUACGUCCCAGACUCCUACGGGAGGCAGCAGUGGGGAAUAUUGCACAAUGGGCGCAAGCCUGAUGCAGCGACGCGGCGUGAGGGAUGACGGCCUUCGGGUUGUAAACCUCUUUCAGCACCGACGAAGCGCAAGUGACGGUAGGUGCAGAAGAAGGACCGGCCAACUACGUGCCAGCCGCCGCCGUAA
This 478-nucleotide ribosomal RNA is filed under the name uncultured bacterium. Its description in RNAcentral is "partial 16S ribosomal RNA". It matches the Rfam family "Bacterial small subunit ribosomal RNA", at positions 28 to 523 of the family's 1533-position model. The record is from RNAcentral.